Non-coding RNA from Meleagris gallopavo (turkey), 2532 nucleotides. Lineage: Eukaryota; Metazoa; Chordata; Aves; Galliformes; Phasianidae. The record is from RefSeq and is a predicted model, not a curated record.
UCCUUACCACCCCCCCCAGGACUCCACUCUGUUUUUAGAAUUACUUUAUCCGUACAGCCUGAUGCUGCAAAGCACGAGCUCUCCCAGCAAUAACCUGCCUCUGACGUGCUCAGCCUGCAGGGAAAAGUUAUUCCUCUGUGUCUGCAGGCUUUGCUCCCAUUCCCAGGUGCAAGAGUCAGCCCAGAGCUCAGCUCAGCUUUACCUACAACAGAAAUCCAGUCUCUGCCAACCGUGUUUUUCUCUCUCCUGAAACACUGAACCGCUGCAAGAAGCAACGUUCCAAAAGCUCCUUUAUUGCACAAAAGCUAGGAAAUAAGAACAGAUUUCCAGAUCAGGCAUAUGUUUCAGGGAGGCACCAGACAAGUGGAGACAAUAAAAAGCACUGGCAAGUCAAAGCUUUGUUCAAAGGUCGGUUGUAAGAUCUAAGGUCAGCUUCUCCCACGCAGGUUAGCUACGGCGGUGAUAAAUCAUGGCCAAAAGCUUCCCUGCACUAGAACACCAAAUCCAAGAGAUUAGAAGCUGCAGAGAUGUAGAUUCAUCUCAGCCCAGGAAUCCUUCUGUUCAGCUCACAGGCAGAAGGCGGUGAGGCUCUCACGUCACUCUGCUCCCAGCAGGGUCUCCAGUACAGUGCAGAGACUUACUGGCAUCAUUUGCAUUUCUGUUUUGCCUACUGGCAAGCACGCCCGCUUCAGGGCAGGUCUCAUCCCACUGUCAGUCCUUGUAAGAAACACUAUGGCAAAUCCACCAGCAGAAGACACAGUCCUUCCCUCUACUGAGCAACAAAGAAACCAAUCUGCCCUUGCUUCUGACCCUUGUCCCCGCCUCCUCCUGCCCUCACGUCCAGCCAUCUUCUCUUGAGGAGGGUAAGGAACAGUGAUAAUGUAGACUUGCUUAUCCUGGCAGUGUUUGUGGGCCACUAAGAGAAAUCCCUGAGAAAUCCCAGAAAACAGAGACAAAAAGGGACAGACAGAGGAGCGCCUAACAAAGAUGCCAAGAUGUUUUCAGCCGUGGUUGGUAUUGCUGGGUACAGCCAACCACACGAGGCUGAGCACGCUCUGCUGUCCCUAUCCCAGUUCUAGAAAUAGCCAGCAGAGCUCUGUGUUCUCUUGCUUCCGUGAGCUGCUUUAAAAUGCACGUUGUUGCGAGCUGGCUCGAGCUCUAGGGCCUAAAGGCGCAGCCAGAGAGGCUAAGAUAUGGUUUAGAUAUGGUUUAGACAUGGUUUAGAUAUGGUUUAGAUAUGGUUUAGAUAUGGUUUAGAGGCUUGUGGUAGCAAUGGUGGCAGGAGGACGGUUGGACCACAUGGUCUUGCAGGUUGUUUCCAACCUCGUGAUUCUAUGAUUAAAGCCACAGGCAGAGAGGCCAGCAGCAGCCGUGGGGACUAAAGCCAUGAAUGUCAGUGGGUGCCGUGUUUCUGCACAAAGGAGCUCAGUUCCACACCUCUGCUUCACGCACGCUUCCGUGUCAGACGGCAGUUUGUCACAGUGCCCCUCUGCUGCCCAUCUGUCUCAUGGCAGCACCGUGGAACCGAGCGCUGGGGGGAAGCUUCAGCCUCCCUGGAAUGCAGGCUCCGUGUAAAAUAACUGCAAUUUCAUACACGUGUCUGGUUUUUCUCUCCCCAACUGCAUUGUGACUAAAAACCAGUGCCGUGUCCGAGCUGAUGUUCAGGGUAUCACGUCUGCUUUGAGACGUCUCUCGCUCUGAGAACGACGAGCAGGGAAGCAGAGAACAGAGCCUGCUGCCGAGCUCCCUGGAAACGCUGGUUCUCUGUCCCACCCUCUCCAGGCAUUCAGCCGGUCAUGGCUAAGAGGGUCAUUGCUUGUUUUCUUUGUUGUCUUCUCCUCAGGCGGCUUUUCCACCAGAAAGGUGACGCGGAUCCAGCUGGGGAGGGGUGGCAAUUCAGGACAUUCCUCUGGAAUUGGGAAGGAGAGACCUGGUCAGAGGAGACUGACUGUGGACCUGCUGCCCGGUGACACGCAGGGGUGCCCAGGCCUGUCCCAAAGCACCCGAGAGGGCCGCUCUGCUCUCCUCACAGAUGCAGAGACCUCUGUGCCUCGUGCCCAGCUCCUCCUCUCCGGGGUGCAGCUCUGUUUUGGGACUGCAUUGAUGGCUUUGCUUUGGGAAAGAGGAGCUGGGUGGUGCCUGGGAGGCGACAUCUCUUUCAGGAGCUCAUUUUGUGGGGGGAGGACUGGGCCUAGGACAGCCCCCUGCUCAUUUCCCAUCUUUUCUAUCGCCCGUCUUCCCCAUCUCCGGAAACAACUUGGGUUUGUAAUAAUAAACUGGACGGGCUAACAUCUAACCCGUUGUGUCUUCAUCUCUCCGUCAGCUGUACACGUAUUAAAAGAACCUCCCCUUGCUCUGAUAAUGGCAGCGAGGCAGUGGAGCAAAGCAGAGAGCACACCAAAGCCCAGGGUUUGCCAGCAUUUGAAAGGCAUGGCUGUGCAUGGGGCGGAGCCUGGGCCAAGAGGAGACUGUUUCCUUCCAGCUUGCUGCUCCUUUGGAUCCCUGGUGGGAAGGGGAGGGGAGGGGAGGGGA